This 414-nucleotide ribosomal RNA is filed under the name uncultured soil bacterium. RNAcentral describes it as "bacterial SSU rRNA". It matches the Rfam family "Bacterial small subunit ribosomal RNA", at positions 26 to 436 of the family's 1533-position model. The record is from RNAcentral.
AGAUUGAACGCUAGCGGGAUGCUUUACACAUGCAAGUCGAACGGCAGCGCGGACUUCGGUCUGGCGGCGAGUGGCGAACGGGUGAGUAAUAUAUCGGAACGUGCCCAGUAGCGGGGGGAUAACUACGCGAAAGCGUGGCUAAUACCGCAUACGCCCUACGGGGGAAAGGGGGGGAUUCUUUCGAGAACCUCUCACUAUUGGAGCGGCCGAUAUCAGAUUAGCUAGUUGGUGAGGUAAAGGCUCACCAAGGCGACGAUCUGUAGCUGGUUUGAGAGGACGACCAGCCACACUGGGACUGAGACACGGCCCAGACUCCUACGGGAGGCAGCAGUGGGGGAAUUUUGGACAAUGGGGGAAACCCUGGAUCCAAGCCAUCCCGCGUGUGCGAUGAAGGCCUUCGGGUGUAAGCACUUC